Molecule: long non-coding RNA, 1355 nt
Organism: Alexandromys fortis (reed vole)
Lineage: Eukaryota; Metazoa; Chordata; Mammalia; Rodentia; Cricetidae
Exons: 3
Source: RefSeq, a predicted model, not a curated record
CUCUCACCGAAUACACUUAAAGGACACAUUCAGUCCUGACUAGGGCUUGGUCCCUUUAUAGCAUAUGUUCUACAUUGACGGGGAUUAAGUUUCUCUCCCGAAUGGAACAAUACACCGUCACAGGGAGCUACUGUACUUUCCAGAGCAACAGACACCAACCCAGGCAAAUGGCAAACAGAAUCGCGUCUCACACACAGAGCAACUACGCAGGAAAUGUGAGCGGGGCUGAUGGAAGCUGAUAGGCAGGGCUGGAGUGUGAGCUCCAGCCCUGGAUGUGACAGCAGCCGGCAGAGGAGCACUUAGCAGCUUAUCCAGUGUCCGAUUUGGAUUCCGGCAAAGGUCCAAGCAUGGAAUGCUGCCGUCGGGCAACUCCUGGCACACCGCUGCUCUUUCUGGCUUUCCUACUCCUGAAAAAGAGAGCUAAGAAGAUGCCACAGCAUCUUAAUGGUGGUCUAGUCUUUACAGUUUGUUAUUUGCUGCAUACUCCGAGUCUGCGGAGUAGCUGGGAGAGUGUCUGUGCUCUAGGUAACCAGGAGAAGUGGACCAGCUUUUCAACCAGAGACUCCAUAGGGAUGUGAAAGUUGGGUACAGGAUGAAGAAAGCAACACGGGCUUGUAGUGAGUUCUCUGGGCUCACCUCUACAGGAGAGCACUAGACAAACUACAGCCAGAGAGCCACACAGAGCCAAGGCAAAGACAAUGAAAAGGACAGUAAGGGGCCAGAUCCAAGAUGUAACGCUCGAGUUGCUCCAGUGGCAGAAGCUCAGGAAUGAGAGAAAAGCAGACUCCCAAAGACAGAGAAAUGCUCUCACCCAGCAGCGGGAAAAGCAAAACACACUUCCUGAGUUCACCUGAACUCAAGUUAUCGUCACAUAUUUUUCUUUUUUCUUGCAGCAACCUACACCACUUUCCAUCACUGUAGCAAAAGUCCUGGGAGCCACUAAUAGUAAGAAGUUUCCUUAGUUCAUAGUUCUGGAGCCUGAAAGUCCAACUGACACCGCACAGGCUCUCAUGGGGGGGGGGGGGUUGUGUUACUUCAUGACACAGACAACAGUGGCGAGGAUGUGUGGAGAGAACAGUUUACCUCUCCAAGCAGAUGCAAGAGUGGAGCCCGGCAUCCAUAGCCUCUCUUAUCUACAUACCCACAAUGACCUUAAGGUCUCCCUCUAACCCCAUCUUGUAAGGGUCUAUGUCAUUAUUAACGCUUGCCAUCUAAGGCCCAAGCUUCCAAGCACAAGGACCUUGAAGCUAUUCAAACCACAAGCAAACUAUAACAGAGCCAAGCGUCUAUGGAAAAGCUCUGCUAUCAGAAGGUAACAAUGUGAAUAUUGGGCUGCAGUGCUGUUCCUGGCAUCA